Molecule: ribosomal RNA, 515 nt
Filed under: uncultured bacterium
Lineage: Bacteria
Description: partial 16S ribosomal RNA
Rfam family: Bacterial small subunit ribosomal RNA
Source: RNAcentral
GAUGAACGCUGGCGGCGUGCCUAAUACAUGCAAGUCGAGCGAAUGGAUUAAGAGCUUGCUCUUAUGAAGUUAGCGGCGGACGGGUGAGUAACACGUGGGUAACCUGCCCAUAAGACUGGGAUAACUCCGGGAAACCGGGGCUAAUACCAGAUAACAUUUUGAACCGCAUGGUUCGAAAUUGAAAGGCGGCUUCGGCUGUCACUUAUGGAUGGACCCGCGUCGCAUUAGCUAGUUGGUGAGGUAACGGCUCACCAAGGCAACGAUGCGUAGCCGACCUGAGAGGGUGAUCAGCCACACUGGGACUGAGACACGGCCCAGACUCCUACGGGAGGCAGCAGUAGGGAAUCUUCCGCAAUGGACGGAAGUCUGACGGAGCAACGCCGCGUGAGUGAUGAAGGCUUUCGGGUCGUAAAACUCUGUUGUUAGGGAAGAACAAGUGCUAGUUGAAUAAGCUGGCACCUUGACGGUACCUAACCAGAAAGCCACGGCUAACUACGUGCCAGCCGCCGCGGUAA